This 472-nucleotide ribosomal RNA is filed under the name uncultured bacterium. RNAcentral's name for it is "partial 16S ribosomal RNA". It matches the Rfam family "Bacterial small subunit ribosomal RNA", at positions 28 to 507 of the family's 1533-position model. The record is from RNAcentral.
GACGAACGCUGGCGGCGUGCUUAACACAUGCAAGUCGAACGCUGAAGCUUGGUGCUUGCUCUGGGUGGAUGAGUGGCGAACGGGUGAGUAAUACGUGAGUAACCUGCCCUUGACUCUGGGAUAAGCCUGGGAAACUGGGUCUAAUACUGGAUACGACAUGCCACUGCAUGGUGGUGUGUGGAAAGGGUUUUACUGGUUUUGGAUGGGCUCACGGCCUAUCAGCUUGUUGGUGGGGUAAUGGCCUACCAAGGCGACGACGGGUAGCCGGCCUGAGAGGGUGACCGGCCACACUGGGACUGAGACACGGCCCAGACUCCUACGGGAGGCAGCAGUGGGGAAUAUUGCACAAUGGGCGGAAGCCUGAUGCAGCGACGCCGCGUGAGGGAUGACGGCCUUCGGGUUGUAAACCUCUUUCAGCACGGAAGAAGCGAGAGUGACGGUACGUGCAGAAGAAGCGCCGGCUAACUACGUG